This 326-nucleotide ribosomal RNA is filed under the name uncultured eukaryote. RNAcentral describes it as "partial 18S ribosomal RNA". It matches the Rfam family "Eukaryotic small subunit ribosomal RNA", at positions 1470 to 1796 of the family's 1831-position model. The record is from RNAcentral.
CCCUUAGAUGUCCUGGGCAGCACGCGUGCUACAAUGAUGCAUUCAACGAGUCUUGCCUUAACCGAAAGGUUCGGGUAAACUUUUGAAAUUGCAUCUUGUCGGGGCUUGAUCAUUGUAAUUUUUGAUCACAAACAAGGAAUUCCUUGUAAAUGUGAGUCAUCAACUUGCAUUGAAUACGUCCCUGCCCUUUGUACACACCGCCCGUCGCUCCUACCGAUUGGGUGUGCUGGUGAAAUGUUCGGAUCGGCCGUUUGUCGCGGUUUCCGCGUCAUGUGGCUGAGAAGUUCAUUAAACCCUCCCACCUAGAGGAAGGAGAAGUCGUAACA